This 354-nucleotide long non-coding RNA is filed under the name Mytilus galloprovincialis (Mediterranean mussel). The record is from RNAcentral. Lineage: Eukaryota; Metazoa; Mollusca; Bivalvia; Mytilida; Mytilidae.
GACCCGUCACAUUAAGACUUAUAAAGUGUAGAUUCAUUAUUUUUCGUUGGAUACCAAUUUUUCGUGGAUUUGUAGGUACAGUUAAACCACGAAAUUAAAUGUUCAGCUAAGGACAAAUUUUUGUGUAAGUUUGUUUGCAGGUUUCGGCAUGAAAUUGAAUAUCCACGAACAAGCAAGUUUUCCUUAAUCCACGAAAAUUGGUAACCAUGGAAAUAAAUGAAUCCACAGCAGUUCAUAGCAAUACAUUACAAAUUUAAUACACUAGAUGAAAAACAUAUGUCAUAAAACAGAAUAACAUAAUCUUCAAAUAUACAAUUUAAAUUUUCAAUUUGAUAAAGUAUCUUAUGAUAGCAC